GGGCCGGUGCGCGAUCGUUCCCGUUCUUGGAGGCGAUGGGUCACACCGAGCCCGGGCCGAGGGGAGGCAGGAGCGCGGACCUCGCCCUCCCCUCGCACCCAUCCCGUCGCGGGUGGGUUUUCUGCCCCCAGCCCGCGUCCCCGCUCGCCUCGGUGCGAGGGCAGAGCGAUGUGAAUUUAGCAUUUUUUGUUCAAUUUGGCUUCCAAGCCGGGACCCAUCGGGCGGCACGGCACGAUUGCAGCGCAUUGUCCCCCGACACCUCUGACACACCACAGACGUGCCGCGCUAAUGGGCACCCUGCCCAGCCUGGUGAUGGUGGGCAAAUAUAUUUAUCCUCAAAUACUGUUAUUAAUUUCGUACAAUUUCUCGUUUAAAAAUAAUUUCAAUUUUUAUUCUAAUAAUCACAUCCAGUGGACUGCACGCAGUAUUUCUCAGCAAUUACUUUCAUUUGUUAAACACUUAUUUACACAUUUUCAUUUUGCAUCUGCAUUUCCCAAGCCCCUUCAGUUUUAUUUAACAUUCCCUCUGCCUUUUCAUUGUCUUUUCGCGUGGUAGAAAAUGCUUCUAAAACUUUCCUGACUCUAAAUGCCCUUUGCCUCUGAAACGGAACCUUUUAGCAUCUUCACUUUAUGGUGCACUCUAUUUCAUUUCUUGAUUCUUUCAACUUUUUAACUGUAAAUUUUAGCAAGCUGGUUUUAGAUCCGUGCUCCAAUACUGUGCUUCCUUCCAUUUAUUAUGGAGUGACAGAUAUGCCUGCCUUGCUCUUUACUGGCUUCUAAAAUGGGAAAAUAACCAAAACAUAAAUCUGAAACAAUUAGGAGAGGAAACUAUUUUAAAAUAUCAUUGUUUCCAUGUCUGACAUCUCAUUCCCAGGCAUCACCAUGAGAGUGGAUAUGGUUCUGGGCAUCUCCAUGGACCCGCAGGGAUCAGGGGACUGUAAUCACUGCCACUGCUCUGCCAGCCAUAAGGGUAGGAGCCUCAAAUAACAGGAAUAUGAAUGGAUCCACGAGAGGGGGAAAGGGGUGGGAAGCAUAGGCAUGAAACUCUGCAAGCCGUGAAUUGAGAAAGCUGUCACAGAAAUGAAAGUACCCCAGGAAGGGAUAAAGUGAGAAAUACGCAUUUCUUCUUCUUCUUCUCUUCUUCUUUGUGCACCUUGUAGCAGAGCAACAACUGUCUUCUUGCUGAGGCAAUUAGGGAAAAAGCAGAGAUAAACAGGAGCAGGACAUAAGGAAAACCAAAGGCAGGAGCCAGCAUUACAAAGCAAUUGGAGGACGGCAUAAAAGAGGCCAUAUGUGCUGGCAAUCACAGAGGAUAAGGGGGAACACCUGUUUUUCCAUCAAUUACAGCCUGCAAGCUCACGGGGCAUAUUUAUUCUGGGGGCAUUACAUUUGCUUGGGUAAUAGCGCAUGACACAUUUCCAGUUUUACAGCAGACAAGCCCUGAGAAGGAGCUAAUCGUGUCUGUACAAAUGAAACACAAACAUGCCCUCCUGGCCGUACACGUGGUUAAACAGGGGCCCUAAUGACACCAGGAGCCACCCGGGGCCAGCAGGAAGCAGUUGGGGCACAACCACCCGUUUGUGGCCACCUGGAUGGCUCUGUUUGCUGAAGCCAACCCAAGCAAAAAGCCCUGGGAAAAUGCAGAGGUGGGACUGUAGGAGAGGUGGAUGCCCGCGGGGAAAUGGUGAUAAUCUCUCUAUUUGGUAAGGACAAAGUCCAACUCAAGUGUCUUACUGAUGGCAAUAGAAAGAGGUAUUAUUGGGGUUUGUAUUUUGGUGUUUUUUUUUUUUUUUUUUUUUAAUCCUCAUAGAAGAA
Motacilla alba alba is the source of this 1814-nucleotide long non-coding RNA. RefSeq lists it as uncharacterized. The transcript has 3 exons. The record is from RefSeq and is a predicted model, not a curated record. Lineage: Eukaryota; Metazoa; Chordata; Aves; Passeriformes; Motacillidae.